AAGGUCCCAAAGUCAUGGAUAAGUGGGACACGAUGUGGGAAGGCACAGACAGCCAGGAUGUUGGCUUAGAAGCAGCCAUCAUUUAAAGAAAGCGUAAUAGCUCACUGGUCGAGUCGGCCUGCGCGGAAGAUGUAACGGGGCUAAACCAUGCACCGAAGCUGCGGCAGCGACACUAUGUGUUGUUGGGUAGGGGAGCGUUCUGUAAGCCUGCGAAGGUGACCUGUGAGGGUUGCUGGAGGUAUCAGAAGUGCGAAUGCUGACAUAAGUAACGAUAAAGCGGGUGAAAAGCCCGCUCGCCGGAAGACCAAGGG
This 311-nucleotide ribosomal RNA is filed under the name Pseudomonas aeruginosa. RNAcentral describes it as "partial 23S ribosomal RNA". It matches the Rfam family "Bacterial large subunit ribosomal RNA", at positions 1041 to 1351 of the family's 2925-position model. Lineage: Bacteria; Pseudomonadati; Pseudomonadota; Gammaproteobacteria; Pseudomonadales; Pseudomonadaceae. The record is from RNAcentral.